CGUGCAGAGCCGGCCGGGCGCGGACCCCGCGCGCUCCAGGGGCCUCCCCAGCUCGCCUGCGCGGCCGAAACGGACCCGCUGCUACCUCUGAAUUGUUUAUAGUAAAUGGCACCAAAGACAGGGGGAGACUUGGAAAGCCGGAGCGGAAAAACGAGGACUUGCCCGCCGCCUGCGGCUGCGCGCUUCUUUGAAGGUGGCAUUCCCAAGGGCUGUUUUUAAACCCGGUUUGAACUGUUAGCGCCGUUCAGUUCUGCAACUUAAGGCUACUGACAUUUGUUAAGUCCGUUUCCUUAAGCUUCCUAGCCACGGCUGUUAGUUUCCAUUCUAUUCCUAGGAGAUGGGUUUUGCUGGUGGCGGUUUGUUCCUGAAGAACAGAUGAAAAACAUGCUUACACCUGGUGGCUCUCGGCUGGGGUUCGUGAGCGUGUAUUUCUGCAUGUGGAGGGCGCCCUCCGCGGGCGUGGGAGCCGUUUCUUAGGGACACAGAGAGGAUUUGUUUAGAGAUGGAUUUUAGCGCAAGGAAAAGAACAUGAUUUGUUCUGCAGGGAUGGGUGAGCAAACGCGUUUGGCCAGGGAGGAGCGAGGCACAGCCGUUUCUUCCGCAGACGGGUGUUAGAUAUCUGCUGUCCGGGGUUCAGCAGGGCUGGGAAACGCGACCCUUGAACCAGCAAUCACAGAUGCAAACUAGCUCCGUUUCAAGGAAUAACCUCAAAAGUCAAGAUCCCUGCAGUCAACACGCAUGGGCCCCUGUGUCCAUUGUGCUAUUUGUGGGACAGAAAUGGUGGUGGAGGGGAUUUGCAUUUGUUGAAUGCCAGUUACUUGCCUACCAUUUUCUGAAAAGUAGACCUCAUUUACUCUGCGCAGCAAAUUCCUGCAAGGAAGGAAGUUUACUUUCCGCCUUAUAAGGAAGCUAAGUCACACACCCCAAGUCUCGUGGUUGGUGCAUGGUAGAGUGCUGUGUAGAUAAGCCAUCAGCAGGGGGGACAAACCUGAGCUCUGAACACACUUGGUCUGAGUCCCCUGCAUGACUCUAAGUUCCCCCUUUACC
This 1047-nucleotide long non-coding RNA is filed under the name Ailuropoda melanoleuca (giant panda). Its description in RNAcentral is "lncRNA (ENSAMEG00000024429.1)". The record is from RNAcentral. Lineage: Eukaryota; Metazoa; Chordata; Mammalia; Carnivora; Ursidae.